AAAGGUCACCUCAAUCCGGAUGGAAAUCGGAUGAAGAGUGCAUUGGCAUAAGGUGGCUUUACUGUAAGAGGGACACCUCGAGCAGUUGGGAAACCAGGUCAAAGUGACCCUAUGGUUGAUCGUGGGAUCGCCAUUGUUUAACGAAGAUAAGUUACCCCGGGGAUAACAGGCUAGUCGCGCCCGAUAGUUCACAUUGACGGCGCGGAUCGGCACCUCGAUGUCGGCUCGUCGCAUCCUGGGGGUGGAGAAUCCCCCAAGGGUUGGACUGUUCGCCCAUUAAAGCGGCACGUGAGCUGGGUUCAGACCGUCAUAAGACAGGUCGGUCUCUAUCCGGUAUGGUCGUAGGAUAUCUGAGGGAGUUUGCCCCUAGUACGAAAGGAUCGGGGUGAGCCAACCUCUGGUGCACCAGUUGUUCCACCAGGAGCAUCGCUGGGUAGCUAUGUUGGUAAGGGAUAAGCGCUGAAAGCAUAUAAGCACGAAGCCCGUCCCAAGAUUAGAUAUCCUUGUCCCGCUAACUUAUAGCAUGAAGAAUCUUCGUGUUAUGGGUUAGCGGGGCGUGAGGUUCGUCGAAGACUACGACGUUGAUAGGCUUCAGGUGUAAGCACAGCAAUGUGUUUAGCCGAGAAGUACUAAUAGACCGAAAGCUUUUUAUGU
RNAcentral lists this ribosomal RNA (654 nucleotides) under Candidatus Dojkabacteria bacterium. Its description in RNAcentral is "partial 23S ribosomal RNA". It matches the Rfam family "Bacterial large subunit ribosomal RNA", at positions 2312 to 2925 of the family's 2925-position model. The record is from RNAcentral.